AGAUUGAACGCUGGCGGCAUGCCUAACACAUGCAAGUCGAACGGGAGUAGCAAUACUCUAGUGGCGGACGGGUGAGGAAUACGUAGGAAUUUGCCCUUAAGUGGGGGAUAACCCGGGGAACCCGGAUUAAUACCGCAUGACCUCGAAAGAGCAAAGUGGGGGAUCGCAAGACCUCACGCUUUUGGAGAAGCCUACGUCGGAUUAGCUAGUUGGUGAGGUAAUGGCUCACCAAGGCGACGAUCCGUAACUGGUCUGAGAGGAUGAUCAGUCACACCGGAACUGAGACACGGUCCGGACUCCUACGGAGGCAGCAGUGGGGAAUAUUGGACAAUCGGG
This 336-nucleotide ribosomal RNA is filed under the name uncultured soil bacterium. RNAcentral's name for it is "bacterial SSU rRNA". It matches the Rfam family "Bacterial small subunit ribosomal RNA", at positions 26 to 376 of the family's 1533-position model. The record is from RNAcentral.